UACGUAGGGUGCAAGCGUUAAUCGGAAUUACUGGGCGUAAAGCGUGCGCAGGCGGUUUUGUAAGUUUGUCGUGAAAGCCCCGGGCUCAACCUGGGAAUUGCGAUGAAGACUGCAAGGCUUGAAUCUGGCAGAGGGGGGUAGAAUUCCACGUGUAGCAGUGAAAUGCGUAGAGAUGUGGAGGAGCACCGAUGGCGAAGGCAGCCCCCUGGGUCAAGAUUGACGCUCAUGCACGAAAGCGUGGGGAGCAAACAGG
Molecule: ribosomal RNA, 253 nt
Filed under: uncultured bacterium
Lineage: Bacteria
Description: partial 16S ribosomal RNA
Rfam family: Bacterial small subunit ribosomal RNA
Source: RNAcentral